RNAcentral lists this ribosomal RNA (874 nucleotides) under uncultured Bacillota bacterium. Its description in RNAcentral is "bacterial SSU rRNA". It matches the Rfam family "Bacterial small subunit ribosomal RNA", at positions 11 to 893 of the family's 1533-position model. Lineage: Bacteria; Bacillati; Bacillota. The record is from RNAcentral.
CUUUGAGGAUGGCUCAGGACGAACGCUGGCGGCGUGCCUAACCCCUUCAAGUCGAGCGGAGACAGGGAGUAGCUUGCUACGAGCUGUUUUAGCGGCGGACGGGUGAGUAACGCGUGAGCAUCCUUUCCCAGACAGGGGAAUAACACACCGAAAGGUGUACUAAUACCGCAUAAGACCACGGAAUCACAUGGUUCUGGGGUAAAAGAUUUAUCGGUUUGGGGUGGGCUCGCGUCCGAUUAGGUAGUUGGUGAGGUAACGGCCCACCAAGCCGACGAUCGGUAGCCGACCUGAGAGGGUGAUCGGCCACAUUGGGACUGAGACACGGCCCAAACUCCUACGGGAGGCAGCAGUGGGGAAUAUUGGGCAAUGGAGGAAACUCUGACCCAGCAACGCCGCGUGGAGGAAGAAGGUUUUCGGAUCGUAAACUCCUGUCCUUGGAGACGAGUAGAAGACGGUAUCCAAGGAGGAAGCCCCGGCUAACUACGUGCCAGCAGCCGCGGUAAUACGUAGGGGGCAAGCGUUGUCCGGAAUAAUUGGGCGUAAAGGGCGCGUAGGCGGCUCGGUAAGUCUGGAGUGAAAGUCCUGCUUUUAAGGUGGGAAUUGCUUUGGAUACUGUCGGGCUUGAGUGCAGGAGAGGUUAGUGGAAUUCCCAGUGUAGCGGUGAAAUGCGUAGAGAUUGGGAGGAACACCAGUGGCGAAGGCGACUAACUGGACUGUAACUGACGCUGAGGCGCGAAAGUGUGGGGAGCAAACAGGAUUAGAUACCCUGGUAGUCCACACUGUAAACGAUGAAUGCUAGGAGUAGGGGGUAUCGACCCCUUCUGUGCCGCAGUCAACACAAUAAGCAUUCCGCCUGGGGAGUACGGCCGCAAGG